This 258-nucleotide ribosomal RNA is filed under the name uncultured bacterium. RNAcentral's name for it is "partial 16S ribosomal RNA". It matches the Rfam family "Bacterial small subunit ribosomal RNA", at positions 524 to 777 of the family's 1533-position model. The record is from RNAcentral.
UACGUAGGGACCGAGCGUUGUCCGGAAUCAUUGGGCGUAAAGAGCGUGUAGGCGGCUAUUUAAGUCCUGCGUGAAAUCCUGCGGCUCAACCGCAGACGGUCGUGGGAAACUGGAUGGCUAGAGUGCGGGAGAGGAGAGUGGAAUUCCCGGUGUAGCGGUGAAAUGCGCAGAUAUCGGGAAGAACACCCGUGGCGAAGGCGGCUCUCUGGAACGCAACUGACGCUGAGACGCGGAAAAGCGUGGGGGAGCAAAACAGGG